GGAUUGCAGGCUGNAACCCGCCUGCAUGAAGUCGGAAUUGCUAGUAGUCGCGGAUCAGCAUGCCGCGGUGAAUACGUUCCCGGGCCUUGUACACACCGCCCGUCACACCAUGAGAGCCGGUAACACCCGAAGUCAGGAGCCUAACCGCAAGGAGGGCGCUGCCGAAGGUGGGAUUGGUAAUUGGGGUGAAGUCGUAACAAGGUAUC
Molecule: ribosomal RNA, 206 nt
Filed under: uncultured bacterium
Lineage: Bacteria
Description: partial 16S ribosomal RNA
Rfam family: Bacterial small subunit ribosomal RNA
Source: RNAcentral